AAGUCGUAACAAGGUUUCCGUAGGUGAACCUGCGGAAGGAUCAUUAAUGAGAACUUGCCCUCCGGGGUAGAUCUCCCACCCUUUGUCUACCUUACCUUUGUUGCUUUGACGGGCCUGUCCUUGCGGACUGCCGGCUCUGGCUGGCGAGCGCCCGUCAGAGGACCCCAAACUCUUGUUUAAUUGUCGUCUGAGUACUAUAUAAUAGUUAAAA
Molecule: unclassified non-coding RNA, 211 nt
Filed under: plant metagenome
Description: partial contains small subunit ribosomal RNA and internal transcribed spacer 1
Rfam family: Eukaryotic small subunit ribosomal RNA (bases 1-46)
Source: RNAcentral